RNAcentral lists this long non-coding RNA (3232 nucleotides) under Capsicum annuum. Its description in RNAcentral is "long non-coding RNA (CANN_LNC003069)". The record is from RNAcentral. Lineage: Eukaryota; Viridiplantae; Streptophyta; Magnoliopsida; Solanales; Solanaceae.
AAGUCAACUCAUAUAUCAGUAACACACACUAAAGAAUUCCUCAUAUAUCAGUAACACACACUAAAGAAUUCAAGUCUCAUUAGCAAACCUUAUACAUAAUUUUGAAAAGGGAUUAAUUUAAUUAUUGUAACUUUAGGGUCGUUUCUUUGGGAUUAUUCAUUGGAUUAACCACCUUGAAUCACUUUAUUAUCAAUUCUUUUAUUAUUAUUAUUAUUAUUAUUAUUAUUAUUAUUAUUAUUAUUAUUAUCAACAUCAUCAUCAUCAUCAUCAUCAUCAUCAUGAUGUCGCUCGUGGAAUUCGAUCCAAUCACAUCUCAUAGCAAUACCAAAAUUUAACGUUGGCACAUUACUUGAGAAAUUAAUAAAGAAGAAAAAAUUUAAUGUACACCACAUUGCUACUAACAAUAUUUUCAUAAGUAACAAUUAUGUUCUUCUAAACCUCGCAAUUAGGAGACUAUUAGCUCAUUAUCAGCUUAUUAAAUGACACGAUCAUUCAAAAUCAAUACUAAUCUGUACACACAUGCUAAGGAACUUAUUUUUGUCUAACUAGUCAUGACCUGUAGGAGACAAUCUAAGUCUAUGUACCGCACUGACGUAGUAUCCAAUCCUCUAUAAAUAAGUAAUAUCAAUAUUCAUAUUCGUACCGGCGUGGUACCUAAUUCUCCAUAAAUAAGUAAUAUCAAUAUUCAUAUUCGUACCGGCGUGGUACCUAAUUCUCCAUAAAUAAGUAAUAUCAAUAUUCAUAUUCGUACCGGCGUGGUACCCAAUCCUCCAUAAAUAAGUAAUAUCAAUAUUCAUAGUCGUACCACCGUGCUACCCGAUCAUCCAUAAAUAAACAAUAUCAAUAUUUAUAUUUGUACCGGUGUGGUACCCGAUCCUCCAUAACCAUAUUAUAUACAUUUUAUCAAAUUCACAUUCUCUCUCAAGAUACAAUACAACAUACUAAAUUUACAAGUGCACUUAAAAUCAUAAUGCAAUUCGAUCAAAUUCGAUUUUCAAUAGUUAUUCAUACAACUGUCAACAAUUGAUCUUGAUCAUCCAAUACAACAUACUAAAUUUACAAGUGCACUUAAAAUCAUAAUACAAUUCGAUCAAAUUCGAUUUUCAAUAAUUAUUCAUACAACUGUCAACAAUUCAUCUUGAUCAUCCACAUAUAAUUCAUGACAUUAAUUCAAGGAGCUAUCAUUAUCAAACAAAUCUUUCAUAGGCACAAUUCAAUAAAUCAUCAUAAUCAUCAAUUUAGUAUCUCAUGAACAUUCAAUAGAUAAAGUAAGUUUACCAAUAUCAAAGUAAGAAUGUUAGAAUCACAAUUUAAAACUUAAGAAUACAAGUCAUCAUUGGAGCCUUCAUUACUCAUUAAUUAUCAAAAUAUCACUACCGCCUCAAAUACCGAAACUUGGAUUCUAACAUCACCACCUGUAACUAGCACAUUCAAGCAUAUUAUUAUCUCUACCUCUUUUCACAUAAUAUGAUUUUCACAACAAUUCAAGAUAUCUAUCCCUUAGAUAUUACCAUGCUCAUCAAUAAUCUGUGCUAACAUAAUUCUCCUCAUCACAUUAUUACAUAAUACAUACAACUUAAUAUCAUUAUAAAUCAAUUAGGUUCAUCACUGGAACAACUGAGAAACAUCAUGUCCACAUACUUUAUUUACAACAAUCUAAUUUCGGGCACAUAACACAAUAACAUAAAUAUCACGUAAUCAAUCAAUAACAUAAUUUUUGAAAUUAAAGUAAAGUUUUUAUGUCUUUAUCCACCUCAACUCUAUGCCCACAGGUCCAUACAUGCUUUCUCCCAUCUAUUAUAAAUUAUGAAAAUAUGAGAUAACAAAGUAUUUUAUUCAAUAACCUAACCUACCUGGAUGCCAAACUUUUGAAAGAAGCACGCUGCAGCAAGAAUUGUAUUUUCUUUACUUUAUGCCUUGGAAUAAUCAAUUGUUUCAUGAAGGACUUUCUCCUUUAAUUUUGGGAAAUCACCUCUCUAGAAUUGAGGAAUGAAGUUUGGGGUUCUUAGAUCUAAAAAAUGGCUGAAACUGAUUAAAAUAUUCCCGUUUCAGCCCGAAUAGUUCUCAUGAAACAGUCAUAACUUUUUACAUCAAAUUCCAAUUGACAAACGGUUUAUUUUUCUCGAAAGAGGACUCAAAGAUCUUUGAUCUAUAGGGUAUUGGGCCUCCUAACUCCUUAUAUUGUAGAAGAUAUGAUCGUUUGAAGUUGGUUCUAAUAGAAACUCUAGUGGAAAGAAAGUCUUAAACUUAGCUUUGUGUUAGGAAUAUUGUAUGACCUUAAUUCAUACCUAAAUAACUUUCAAACUAAAGGAUUGAUAUUUGUAUUCAUGAAUAUUUAAAUUCAUCGGGCUUGAGUCUAUCUAGACACAUUGAAAUAAUUAAAUCUUAGCUAAAAAGCUUGAGGUGACAUAAUAAAUCAAAUGAUGACUAUUUUGGACUCAAGUUACUAUUGAGGAAUGAAAACUAAGAUUUUUCAUGAAUUUAACAUGUAUAAUUUAGUAACGAAGAAAUGAUUUGUUAUUUUUUUCGUCUAUUUCAAUUUAAGUGACAGUAAUAUAUACACAUUCAGCCAUCAAAAGGGACUCAUAGUAAAGGGAAAAGGUCACGGGAUAUCUAUGCAGCUAAUACACCUAAGUGUGAGUCUGCAGUUCAAGCAUUUGCAGGUCCAAGCAUCCCAAAAUCUCUCUCCCAGCCAUACCUGCAUAUCAAUGAGAAAGUCAAUGAAGAAAAAGCAAAGGAAGAAGGAGCAGAAGAUAACAAACAACUUACCUGGCCAUGCAAACUGACUCAGGGAUCUAGACCCUUCGAUUCAGCACCAAAAAGCAAGCAACUUCCCAUUCACUAGAGAACUCAGCUGAUUUCAAUCAAACAAGGAAGAAAUCAGUAUAAAAAAAGGAGAAAUAUAGUUUCGCAGGAGCUUAAGCAAUCAACAAGAUCGAAUGAAAGUACUUCUGAGAGCUGUAAAACAAAGAAAAGGAGUAAAUCCAAGGCAAAGUGUUGAUAACCCAAAGCAACAGCAGCAAAAAUUGAAGAUUCAAGCAUGGAGUCGACAUCAUUUUUCACCUGAGACUGAGCUUAAACAAUGGAAAUAGAAGCCUUUUGAUUUAGGAAACCCUAAGCACAAAUAUAUAUGUCUGAAGGGUUCGAGUUUGGGCUAAUUGGUUGGACCUGAAAUAAGCCCAAUUUUCUUUCUUUAUUUUUUCGGUUGGUUUGGCCCAUCCAAUGUAGAAAC